AGGGUUUGAUCCUGGCUCAGAACGAACGCUGGCGGCGUGGCUAAGACAUGCAAGUCGAACGGACAAUCCAAUUGAGUAAUCGAGCGGAUAGUUAGUGGCGAAGGGGUUAGUAAUGGAUAGGUAACGUACCCCAUGCUCCGGGAUAUCGUUAGUAGCUUCGGCUACUUUCCGAAAGGGGCAUUAAUACCGGAUAAUAUAUCCAGUUUUAAGACUGGAUAUCAAAGAUUUAUCGGCGUGGGAGCGGCCUAUCUCCUAUCAGCUUGUUGGUGAGGUAAAGGCUCACCAAGGCAAUGACGGGUAGCGGGACUGAGAGGUUGGCCCGCAACAUCGGGACUGAGACACUGCCCGGACCUCCACGGAGGGCUGCAGUAACGAAUAUUGCGCAAUGGGCGAAAGCCUGACGCAGCGACGCCGCGUGUGGGAGGAAGUCUUUCGGGAUGUAAACCACUGUCAGGGGUUAGAAAGUGCACUUCGGUGUAUUGAUCAGCCCCAGAGGAAGUCACGGCUAACUUCGUGCCAGCAGCCGCGGUAAGACGAAGGUGGCGAGCGUUGUUCGGUGUCACUGGGCUUAAAGGGUGUGUAGGCGGGUGCGUAAGCGCUUUGUGAAAUCCCUCGGCUUAACCGAGGAAUUGCUUGGCGAACUGCGUAUCUUGAGGCAGGUAGGGGUCAGUGGAACUGUUGGUGGAGCGGUGGAAUGCGUAGAUAUCAACAGGAACGCCGGUGGAGAAAUCGGCUGACUGGGCCUGUCCUGACGCUGAGACACGAAAGCGUGGGUAGCGAUCGGGAUUAGAUACCCCGGUAGUCCACGCAGUAAACAAUGUCUACUAGGUUGUGGCGGUUCUGACGCCGGCACGGCCGAAGCAAAAGUGUUAAGUAGACCGCCUGGGGAGUACGGUCGCAAGGCUAAAACUCAAAGGAAUUGACGGGGGCUCACACAAGCGGUGGAGCAUGUGGAUUAAUUCGAAGCAACGCGCAGAACCUUACCUGGGUUUGACAUGCUUGGAUGCCAACCGGGAAACCGGGGAAGCUGCCUUCGGGUGAAACUUGCACAGGUGCUGCAUGGCUGUCGUCAGCUCGUGUCGUGAGAUGUCGUGUUAAGUCCUUUAACGAGCGAAACCCUUACCGUUAGUUGCCAGCGGGUAAUGCCGGGGACUCUAGCGGGACUGCCGGUGUCAAACCGGAGGAAGGUGGGGAUGACGUCAAGUCAUCAUGGCCUUUAUACCCAGGGCCUCACACGUGCUACAAUGGUGGUGACAGAGCGACGCAAGACCGCAAGGUGGAGCAAAUCGCAAAAACAUCGCCUCAGUUCGGAUUGCAGGCUGGCAACUCGCCUGCAUGAAGUCGGAAUCGCUAGUAAUCGCGUAUCAGCUACGACGCGGUGAAUGUGUUCCUGAGCCUUGUACACACCGCCCGUCAAGUCAUGGGAGUUGGGAGUACCCGAAGCCGGUUUGCCAACCGUAAGGAGGCGACUGUCUACGGUAGGCCCGAUGACUGGGACUAAGUCGUAACAAGGUA
RNAcentral lists this ribosomal RNA (1515 nucleotides) under metagenome. Its description in RNAcentral is "bacterial SSU rRNA". It matches the Rfam family "Bacterial small subunit ribosomal RNA". The record is from RNAcentral.